GGGUGAGUAACACGUGGAUAACCUACCUAUAAGACUGGGAUAACUUCGGGAAACCGGAGCUAAUACCGGAUAAUAUAUUGAACCGCAUGGUUCAAUAGUGAAAGACGGUUUUGCUGUCACUUAUAGAUGGAUCCGCGCCGCAUUAGCUAGUUGGUAAGGCAACGGCUUACCAAGGCAACGAUGCGUAGCCGACCUGAGAGGGUGAUCGGCCACACUGGAACUGAGACACGGUCCAG
This 236-nucleotide ribosomal RNA is filed under the name uncultured Staphylococcus sp. RNAcentral's name for it is "partial 16S ribosomal RNA". It matches the Rfam family "Bacterial small subunit ribosomal RNA", at positions 104 to 334 of the family's 1533-position model. The record is from RNAcentral. Lineage: Bacteria; Bacillati; Bacillota; Bacilli; Caryophanales; Staphylococcaceae.